Long non-coding RNA from Pantherophis guttatus, 625 nucleotides. RefSeq lists it as uncharacterized. Lineage: Eukaryota; Metazoa; Chordata; Lepidosauria; Squamata; Colubridae. The record is from RefSeq and is a predicted model, not a curated record.
GCGGCCAAAUAGCAAUCUGCAUUAUUUGGAAGCUGACUUGGCCCUUUAAGGGCCACCCACCGAUAAACCCUCACUCCCAAAACAAGUGCAUCCCAAAUGAAGCCAGACUCCUUUCCUUUAGCAUUUGGAGGAAACAGAAGCACCCAGAGGAAUCCAGUCUAAUCCGUGGCACACAUUUAUCUGAGGACAAAAAUCCAUGUCCCAUAGACACAGCAUCGCUGAGAUAUUAAAUCUCAUUCUCAAUACACAAGAACAAAAUUGAAUUAAAAGAUGGAGGAAGGAGACCAUCGAGCAAGGAAUAACAUUAAAGAGCCUUGGUAGUACAGUGGUCUAAGGCACCCUGUUAUUAAGCUGGUUAUUAAGACCAGCUGCCUGCAAUUACUGUAGGUUCGAAUCUCGCCAAGGCUCAAGGUUGACUCAGGCUUCCAUCCUUUCUAAGCCAAAGUCCAGCCCAGCAGACAGACUGCCCUUGCCUUGGCAGCAGCAGGAGGAAGAAAAUGGCAAAGGUCAUUGGAAUGAACACAGAUCAAUAAAACCUGCCGUUUUGGAUACCAACACUGAUGGCAUGGGCAAGACAGGAAAACCUGAUCUUACAGAGAAUCAAUUAAAGAAGUAAUUCAAAUGA